Triticum aestivum (bread wheat) is the source of this 669-nucleotide RNA transcript. RefSeq lists it as uncharacterized. The transcript has 3 exons. The record is from RefSeq and is a predicted model, not a curated record. NCBI's taxonomy places the organism in Eukaryota, Viridiplantae, Streptophyta, Magnoliopsida, Poales, Poaceae.
CCAUUCAGCCCUUCCUCCUCCACGGCCGGCCACCCUCCCGAUCUGGAGGUCUCCGACCAAAUCAUUCCCCUCCCCACCACGGCAUGCGGCAUGGAGUCCCGGGAUCGCUCGCCGUCAACCAAUGCUAUGCGGAUCUGGCGAGUCCUAACUCACCAAGAUCCCAUGACGGACAAGGUUUGUUGCGCCUCCUCCUGAAGCUGUCGAGGACCAUGAACGCCACUUCCUCUCACCGGCUCAGCACCAACACUUUCACUACCCGCAGGUGUACAAAAUUGCUUGUUCCCGGAUGGAUAUAGUAGCACAUGGAUCCAUCACCUUUGGUCUUGUCUGGUGUUCUCCCGUGCGUGACGAAUUUCGAAGGAUGAAACAGAGGCUGGGCGACAGGGAGAUUACACUGGAAGUGUGUUGCCUUGUGCCAGAUCCGCCACGAAGUGAGCUGGCCCUCUCCUCCUCUCAUGCCGACAUCGGCAUAUUGCCCUGCUUCUUCCACGGCUUGAUGAACCUACCUUCGCCAGCUUGAUUGAUUUUAAUCGAGAGAAAACUAGUUCGAUUGAGUUUUAUCUUAAAAAGGCUAGUCAUCGCCUGAUGGCCAUUGUAUAGAUAAAAUAUGCUGCAGUUUAUUCUUCCUGUACUACUGCAAUAAGGCAACGUUUCAUCACUAUUCAGUUC